GAUGCAUCUGAGCUUCAGGAGAGAAAGAUGCGGGGCAGAGGUGGUGAGAGGAAGAGGAGAUUUCCAGGAAGGGAGAGGAGCCCAGUACUGAGAAUGGAUGGGAGAGGAGAGGAAGAGGGUGGAGUGGGCUCUGCCCCACAACCCCCCCAGAGCCCUGGCUCAGACACCUUCCUCCAGGCCCAGGGGCCCUCUAGCCUCCACUGCCCUGGCCCUAGACUGCUCACCUGCUCUGCCCUCUACCCUCCUGUGACAGCAGGGAAACCGAGACCUGGAGAGGGAGGUGGCAUCCAGAUUUGGGCCCCUUUGCCCCCUUGUAAGUUCCCCUGCUUCUCCCUGAACCCCACAGGCUUAGGGAGCCCAAAUGGCUACAGAUCUGGUAAAGCUGGUGGCAGGGUGCUUGGGGAGGGUGGCACACUGGCUCCCAGCUGCUCCGGCACCCUGGGCUCAACAUCUCACUUCUCCCACAGUCUAUGGCCCCCACAGUGGCCUGGGAGCAGGAUUCGUGGUCAGGCAUGGGCUGGGAACCCAGCCAGGUGAGAGCUGUGGGGUCCCCUCCUUCCCUCCCUCCCAGGCCUCAGAGGGAAGGGGCAGGAUUGGAGAGUGAUUGUUGGGAGGAAGUGCAGGGAGCCUCUCAGGUUUGCUGGUGUCUGGCUUAGUCCAAGGAGGGGUUCAAGGGUCUUGUACCCCCACCUCAGCUGGGACCCCAAACCUCCUCAGCUCACCUCUCCCUCUCCCACGAGCCCUUCCACUCAGAAUGGCUACAGAGCAGGUAAAGGUGGGAGUGGGGGAGCUGGAAGCCAGGAUUCUAGGGGUAUCCCUGGGAUGGGGAUUCCUGAGCCCCUCAUCUGAUCCCCCUCUCUUUCCCAGACACUGAAGGGGGCAUGAAACCCCAAAACCUAGGUGAGGCUCGCCCAGCCCCUGCCUGCCUCCCUCUUCCUAACUCCCUCCUGCCUUCUCGCCCCAGGGUUCAGGAUCUUCCCAGGUGCUGCAGCCCAGCCAGGAUAUGGAAACGGGCUGGGAGCAGCGGCCUUCCCAGUGGCCGGAGCCCAGCCAGGAAUGGGGAGCAGAAGUGGUUUGGGUGUUGGCACUCUUCCAGGGACAGGAACCCCACCAGGACACAACAAUGGAAACGGACCGGGAACCCAGCCAGGUCAGGGCCGAAGGGGCUGGGGUGGCUGGGGGAGAGGUCAGGGGCCCAGGGCCACACUCUGGGUCCCAACAGAUGGGCUCUUGGGGGUUCAUUCAUUCACCCAAUCUCCCCUGAGCACCCGUCCCAAGCCAGGCCUCUGCUGGCUACGGAGGACACCCAAGCUGGUCAGCGGUGGCCACGGUCUGGACUCCCAGGCCAAGAACCAAAUCCAACUUCGACUGCAGUCAGGCCUGGGAGGGAAUUCACACAAGACAGAAAGGGAGAGGGCAGGGGUCACGAGAGACAGAAAGGGAGAGGGCAGGGCUCCAGGCUGCAGCUCAUUCCCACUGCACUACCAUCCACACUCCUGUGUCUGCCCUCAAACAGGUCCUGCCGCUCAAAAUGGCUUUGGACCAGGUAAAGAGGGUGGGGACGGAAGCGGGGAGCCUGGGGCUGAGAUUCUGGGCACAGGCCCAGAGGAAAGGAUCCCUCACCCUCUCAUCUUCCCCCCAGGCUUUGGAGGGGGUGGAAAACCCCAGAAGCCAGGUGAGCCACACCCUGUCCCUGUCUCCCUGCCCAUUUCCUAUGCAUCCGCCGCUGCUUCCCUAGAGUCCCUGAUCUCCCCAUUCUCUUUGGCUCUGUCUCCUGGGAUUUGGGAAUAGGAAUGGGUGGGGAGUCGGGGCCUUCCUGGGAGCUGGAACCCAGGCAGGUGAGGCCCUGGAGUUCUGGGAGCAUGGAGGUCUUGGGGGUUGGGGGUUACUGAUGUGGGGGCCUGGUCCUGGUCCUGAGCAGAGAGGAAGGGAUGGGUGGACUCACAGGAAGUCUUUCCCCUUCUCUUCCCAGGCCUGGGAGGGGAACUAAAGCCUCAGAGAGCAGGCGAGCCCCAACCUCUAGCCUCCCAACUUGGUCUCACACAACAAACCUCAUUCAACAAACCAAUCCAGGCCUGGAGCAGUGGCUAAGACCUGUAAUCCCAACUGUUCGGGAGGCAGAGUUAGGUGGAUAAAUUGAGCCCAAGAGUUCAAGACCAGCCUGGGCAACAUUCCCAAGCUGGUCUUGAACUCUUGGGCUCAAGCAAUCCAUCUAC
RNAcentral lists this small RNA (2216 nucleotides) under Pongo abelii (Sumatran orangutan). Its description in RNAcentral is "retained intron". The record is from RNAcentral. Lineage: Eukaryota; Metazoa; Chordata; Mammalia; Primates; Hominidae.